AGAGUUUGAUCCUGGCUCAGAUUGAACGCUGGCGGCAGGCCUAACACAUGCAAGUCGAGCGGAAACGAUGGAAGCUUGCUUCCAGGCGUCGAGCGGCGGACGGGUGAGUAAUGCGAAUCUACCCAGUAGAGGGGGACAACUUGGGGAAACUCAAGCUAAUACCGCAUACGCCCUACGGGGGAAAUCGGGGGACCUUCGGGCCUCGUGCUAUUGGAUGAGCCUGCGUUAGAUUAGCUAGUUGGUAGGGUAAAGGCCUACCAAGGCUACGAUCUAUAGCUGGUCUGAGAGGAUGAUCAGCCACACUGGAACUGAGACACGGUCCAGACUCCUACGGGAGGCAGCAGUGGGGAAUAUUGCACAAUGGGCGCAAGCCUGAUGCAGCCAUGCCGCGUGUGUGAAGAAGGCUCUAGGGUUGUAAAGCACUUUAAGCAGGGAGGAAGGCCAGUUAGUUAAUAUCUGACUGGAUUGACGUUACCUGCAGAAUAAGCACCGGCUAACUCCGUAUUACCGCGGCUGCUGGCACGGAGGGUGCAAGCGUUAAUCGGAAUUACUGGGCGUAAAGCGCGCGUAGGUGGUUGUGUAAGUGGAAUGUGAAAGCCCUGGCCUCAACCUGGGAACUGCAUUUGGAACUGGCAGGCUAGAGUACGGUAGAGGGUGGUAGAAUUUCCUGUGUAGCGGUGAAAUGCGUAGAUAUAGGAAGGAAUACCAGUGGCGAAGGCGGCCACCUGGACUGAUACUGACGCUGAGGGGCGAAAGCGUGGGGAGCGAACAGGAUUAGAUACCCUGGUAGUCCACGCCAUAAACGAUGUCAACUAGCCGUAGGGAUCCUUGAGGUCUUUGUGGCGCAGCUAACGCAAUAAGUUGAUCGCCUAGGGAGUACGGCCGCAAGGUUAAAACUCAAAUGAAUUGACGGGGGCCCGCACAAGCGGUGGAGCAUGUGGUUUAAUUCGAUGCAACGCGAAGAACCUUACCCGGUCUUGACAUCCUGCGAACUUUCUAGAGAUAGAUUGGUGCCUUCGGGAGCUCUGAGACAGGUGCUGCAUGGCUGUCGUCAUCUCGCGUUGUGAAAUGUUGGGUUAAGUCCCGUAGCGAGCUCAACCCUUAUCCUUAUUUACCAGCGGGUUAUGCCGCGAACUCUAAGGAGACUGCCGGUGACAAACCGGAGGAAGGUGGGGACGACGUCUAGUCAUCAUGGCCCUUACGAGUUGGGCUACACACGUGCUACAAUGGCCGGUACGGAGGGAUGCAAACCUGCGAAGGGGAGCUAAUCUCACAAAACCGGUCGUAGUCCGGAUCGGAGUCUGCAACUCGACUCCGUGAAGUUGGAAUCGCUAGUAAUCGUGGAUCAGAAUGCCACGGUGAAUACGUUCCCGGGCCUUGUACACACCGCCCGUCACACCAUGGGAGUGGAUUGCACCGGAAGUGGCUAGUCUAACCUUCGGGAGGACGGUCACCACUUUGUGAUUCAUGACUGGGGUGAAGUCGGAACAAGGUAACC
This 1498-nucleotide ribosomal RNA is filed under the name uncultured prokaryote. RNAcentral describes it as "partial 16S ribosomal RNA". It matches the Rfam family "Bacterial small subunit ribosomal RNA". The record is from RNAcentral.